AAAUGUGGCAAUACUGGCUUGUCAAACACUGAUCUUGUCUGAUCUUGGAAGCUAAGCAAGGCUGAGCCUGGCUAGUACUUAGAUAGGAAACUGCUGGGGAUACAAGGUUCCACAGUGG
RNAcentral lists this ribosomal RNA (118 nucleotides) under Periophthalmus magnuspinnatus. The record is from RNAcentral. Lineage: Eukaryota; Metazoa; Chordata; Actinopteri; Gobiiformes; Gobiidae.